Molecule: ribosomal RNA, 405 nt
Filed under: uncultured bacterium
Lineage: Bacteria
Description: partial 16S ribosomal RNA
Rfam family: Bacterial small subunit ribosomal RNA
Source: RNAcentral
AUUGAACGCUGGCGGCAUGCUUUACACAUGCAAGUCGGACGAGUGGCGAACGGGUGAGUAACAUAUCGGAACGUACCGAGUCAUGGGGGAUAACUAAUCGAAAGAUUAGCUAAUACCGCCUAUUAUUCUUGCGGCCUAUAUCUGAUUAGCGGGUUGGCGGGGUAAAGGCCUACCGAGGCGACGAUCAGUAGCGGGUGUGAGAGGAUGAUCCGACACAGGGGGACAGAGACACGGCACAGACUCAUAGGGGAGGGCGCAGUGGGGAAUUUUGGACAAGGGGCAAGAGCCUGAACCAACCAUGCCGUGUGUCUGAAGAAGGCCUGCGGGUUGUAAGGAUUUUAGUCAGGGAAGCGGUACCGGAAGAAUAAGCACCGGCUAACUACGUGCCAGCAGCCGCGGUAAUAC